GUCAGCGUGGCUUAGUGGAAAGAGCCUGGGCUUGGGAGUCAGAGCUCAUGGGUUCUAAUCCCGACUCUGCCA
Non-coding RNA from Ornithorhynchus anatinus (platypus), 72 nucleotides. The record is from Rfam. Lineage: Eukaryota; Metazoa; Chordata; Mammalia; Monotremata; Ornithorhynchidae.